Osmerus eperlanus (European smelt) is the source of this 119-nucleotide small nuclear RNA. RefSeq annotates it as U5 spliceosomal RNA. Lineage: Eukaryota; Metazoa; Chordata; Actinopteri; Osmeriformes; Osmeridae. The transcript has a single exon. The record is from RefSeq and is a predicted model, not a curated record.
GCACUCUGGUUCCCCUUCAGCACGCACAAGCCUUUCGCCUUUUACUAAAGACUUCCGUGGAGGGGAACGCCGACGAGUGGAACGGUGGUAUUUUGGGAGGCUUUGCCCGAGGGAGGGCA